This 246-nucleotide ribosomal RNA is filed under the name uncultured bacterium. RNAcentral describes it as "partial 16S ribosomal RNA". It matches the Rfam family "Bacterial small subunit ribosomal RNA", at positions 87 to 334 of the family's 1533-position model. The record is from RNAcentral.
UAUGGCGACCGGCGCACGGGUGGGUAACACGUAUCCAACCUGCCGAUGACUCGGGGAUAGCCUUUCGAAAGAAAGAUUAAUACCCGAUGGCAUAGUUCUUCCGCAUGGUAGAACUAUUAAAGAAUUUCGGUCAUCGAUGGGGAUGCGUUCCAUUAGGUUGUUGGCGGGGUAACGGCCCACCAAGCCUUCGAUGGAUAGGGGUUCUGAGAGGAAGGUCCCCCACAUUGGAACUGAGACACGGUCCAA